GGGCGGUCGUGCGCAGGAUUCGAGGGUACAACUUUGGCUAUGCCAAUCUCUCUGUACUUCCUUCAUUCGAAAUUCAAACUCGAAAGUAGGGGGACUGGUGUUGGGUAUAAAAUACCCUCAGCCGAAGUUCUCAGCGGGAAGAUUCCGCCCGGACUCCUAUGGGAGCCGGGCUUCGACACUGACUUUAAUUGCAGGAAGACUCCGCCCGGACUCCUACGGGAGCCG
RNAcentral lists this long non-coding RNA (225 nucleotides) under Elaeis guineensis (African oil palm). RNAcentral describes it as "long non-coding RNA (EGUI_LNC058980)". The record is from RNAcentral. Lineage: Eukaryota; Viridiplantae; Streptophyta; Magnoliopsida; Arecales; Arecaceae.